UACGUAGGUGGCAAGCGUUGUCCGGAAUUAUUGGGCGUAAAGCGUGCGCAGGCGGCGCGUUAAGACAGGUGUGAAAGCCCCGAGCUUAACUUGGGAAUUGCGCUUGUGACUGGCGUGCUGGAGUGUGGCAGAGGGAGGUGGAAUUCCACGUGUAGCAGUGAAAUGCGUAGAGAUGUGGAGGAACACCGAUGGCGAAGGCAGCCUCCUGGGCCAACACUGACGCUCAUGCACGAAAGCGUGGGGAGCAAACAGG
RNAcentral lists this ribosomal RNA (253 nucleotides) under uncultured bacterium. RNAcentral describes it as "partial 16S ribosomal RNA". It matches the Rfam family "Bacterial small subunit ribosomal RNA", at positions 524 to 776 of the family's 1533-position model. The record is from RNAcentral.